This 3011-nucleotide ribosomal RNA is filed under the name Micromonospora sp. C28SCA-DRY-2. RNAcentral's name for it is "23S ribosomal RNA". It matches the Rfam family "Bacterial large subunit ribosomal RNA". Lineage: Bacteria; Bacillati; Actinomycetota; Actinomycetes; Micromonosporales; Micromonosporaceae. The record is from RNAcentral.
GGUCAAGUUGUCAAGGGCGCAACGGUGGCUGCGCCUUCGGCACCGAGCCGAUGAAGGACGGGAGGCCGCGAUAGGCCUGGGGGAGCUGUCAACCGAGCUGUGAUCCCAGGGGUGUCCGAAUGGGGAAACCGGCUGGACAUGUCCAGUCACCCGCACCUGAAACACAUAGGUGUGUGGGGAACGCGGGGAAGUGAAACAUCUCAGUACCCGUAGAAGAGAAACAAAGAGUGAUCGUGAGUAGGCGGCUGAAAGCGGAUGGAGGCUAAACCGGCUGCGUGUGAUACCUGUCAGGUUGCGUGGCGGGGGUUAGAUUCUGCUACACGAGCUGACACUCGUGUGAGGAGUUACAAAAGUCAGUGGCUAGCCGAACAGUCUGAAAGCGCUGACCGUAGACGGCAGAUAGUCCGGUAGGUGAAAAGUUGCUGAUCUCCUGUGGGUGUUCUCAGGAGUAGCGGCGGACCCUGGAAACGUCGUUCGCCUACAAUCCGUCGGAGCCUUGCGCGGUGACGAAGAAGUGCCUUGGAAGAAUGAGCCUGCGAGUUAGUGGCAUGUGGCGAGGUUAACCCGCUGUGGGGAGUUGCAUGAAAAGCGAGCCCGGAAUAGGGCGAUUCAGUCGCAAGUCCUAGACCCGAAGCGGAGCGGAUUCAGCCAUGGGCAGGCUGGAAGCGCGGGUAAGACCGCGUGGAGGGGUCGAACCCACCUCACAACGUUGAAAGUUGGGGGAUGACCUGUGGUUAGGGGUGAAAGGCCAAUCAAACCCGUGGAGUGCUAGCUGGUUCUCCCGAAAUGCAUUUAGGUGCAGCGCUGUCGCGUGCUUCUUGCCGGAGGUAGAGCACCGGGCGGUCUAGGGGGGCCCGGGCAAGCUACCGAAAUCAGCCAAACUCCGAAUGCCGGUAAGUGAGAGCGCGGCAGUGAGACUGCGGGGGAUAAGCUUCAGUCGAGAGGGAAACAGCCCAGAUCACCAAAGAAGGCCCCUAAGCGUGUGCUGCGGAAAAGGAUGUGGGGUCGCAUAGGACAACCAGAGGGUUGGGUUGAGAAGCAGCCACCCUUUAAAGAGUGCGUAUUGUGCUCACUGGUCGGGCGGUUCCGCGCCGACAAUGCAAGGCCCGGCACACCGCCGAAGCUGUGGCACUGGCCACAAGUACUUCGCGAAGUUCUUCGAGCCAGGCAGGUGGGUGGGUAGGGGGAGUUGCCGUGCCGGGGUGAAGCAGCCGAGUGAUCGAGUUGUGGACGCGGCACGAGUGAGAAUGCAGGCAUGAGGCGAAAGAAGGGGUGCGCAGAAACCCUCUUCCGCCGGAUGACCAAGGUUCCAGGGCCAGCGCCAAUCCGGACGUCGGGACCUAAGGCGAGGCCGAGAGGCGUAGUCGAUGGACAACAACGGGUUGAUAUUCCCCGUACCCGCGAAAGAGCGACCCCUGACGAACCUCGUUGUGCUAACCACCCAAACCAUCCAAGACCUUCGCUGAGGGUGGGGAGCGUGGGAACCCGGCGGGUAGUAGUCAAGCCGGGGAUGGGGGUGACGCAGGAAGGUAGCUGAUCCCGGCCGGUGGCUGUGCCGGGGUAAGCGUGUAGGCCGUGCUGUAGGCAAAAUCCGCAGCACAUGAAGGCUGAGACGUGAUGCCGAGCCGAUUCAGGUGGAAGUCAGCGGUAUCCCAUGCUGCCGAGAAAGCCUCUGGCGAGUUCUGAGCGGCUCGUACCCCCAAACCGACACAGGUAUCAGGGUAGAGAAUACCGGGAGGCGAUCGGGCGAACUGUGGUUAAGGAACCGGCAAAUUGCCCUCGCAACUUAGGAGAAGGGGGGGGGCCGGAGACGCCCCGCGCGGGUGGGAGCGCGUUGUAUGGCCGCAGAGAGCAGGGGGAAGCGACUGUUUACUAAAAACACAGGUCCAUGCGAAGAAGUAAUUGACAAAGGCGGACUGACGCCUGCCCGGUGCUGGAAACGUUAUGGGACCUGUUAGUUUCGGGGCGAAGCGGAGAACUUAAGCGCCAGUAAACGGCGGUGGUAAUCCAUAACCAUCCCAAGGUAGCGAAAUUCCUUGUCGCGUUCCGGAUCUGCACGAAUGGCGUAAACGACUUCCCCACUGUCUCAACCAGCCCGGCGAAAUUGCAGUACGAGUAAAGAUGCUCGUUACGCGCGGCAGGACGGAAAGACCCCGGGACCUUUACUAUAGCUUGACAUUGGUAUCCGAAUUAGCUUGUGUAGGAUAGGUGGGAGCCGGUGAAGUCCAUACGCCAGGGUAUGGGUGGAGGCAAUCUUUGAAAUACCACUUGGUUGAUUUGGGUAUCUAACUUCGACCGUUAUCCGGUUCAGGGACAGUGUCUGUGUGAAGCCACCUGGGGCGGUUGCCUCAAAGGGUAACGGAGGCGCCCAAAGGUUCCCCGUAGCCUGGUUGGCAAUCAGGUGUUGGCGCAAGUACACAAGGGAGCUUGACUCGCAGAGACUGACAGGUCGAGCAGGGACGAAAGUCGGGACUAGUGAUCCGGCACUUGCGUGGGAAGCGGUGUCGCUCAACGGAUAAAAGGUACCCCUGGGAUAACAGCUGAUCUUCCCCAAGAGUCCAUAUCGACGGGAUGGUUUGGCACUCGAUGUCGGCUCGUCGCAUCCUGGGGCUGUGCAGCGGUGUCCCCAAGGGUUGGGCUGCCUGCCCAUUAAAGCGGUACGCGAGCUGGGUUUCUUAGAAACGUCGGCACACAGUUCGGUCCCUAUCCGCCGUGCGCGCGUAGGAUACUUGAGAAGGGCUGUCCCUAGUACGGCGGGGAUCACCGGGACGGACGAACCUCUGGUGUGCGUGCUGGAAGGAGGCCCGCUUUGUGGGCACGGCUGGUUAGCUACGUCUGGAAGGGAUAACCGCUGAAAAGCAUCUAAGCGGAAGCUCGCUUCAAGAUGGUAUCCCACCACCCUUUGGGUGUGCGCCUCCCAGCUAGACGACUGGGUUGAUAGGCGAAAUGUAAGCCCGGUAACGGGUUCAGUAGCUGAUCGCAGUACCAGCCAGGCCGAGUGACUUGACUAC